This 497-nucleotide ribosomal RNA is filed under the name uncultured bacterium. Its description in RNAcentral is "partial 16S ribosomal RNA". It matches the Rfam family "Bacterial small subunit ribosomal RNA", at positions 28 to 507 of the family's 1533-position model. The record is from RNAcentral.
GAUGAACGCUGGCGGCGUGCCUAAUACAUGCAAGUCGAGCGAACAGACGAGGAGCUUGCUCCUCUGACGUUAGCGGCGGACGGGUGAGUAACACGUGGAUAACCUCCCUAUAAGACUGGGAUAACUUCGGGAAACCGGAGCUAAUACCGGAUAAUAUAUUGAACCGCAUGGUUCAAUAGUGAAAGACGGUUUUGCUGUCACUUAUAGAUGGAUCCGCGCCGCAUUAGCUAGUUGGUAAGGUAACGGCUUACCAAGGCAACGAUGCGUAGCCGACCUGAGAGAGUGAUCGGCCACACUGGAACUGAGACACGGUCCAGACUCCUACGGGAGGCAGCAGUAGGGAAUCUUACGCAAUGGGCGAAAGCCUGACGGAGCAACGCCGCGCGAGUGAUGAAGGUCUUCGGAUCGUAAAACUCUGUUAUUAGUGAAGAACAAAUGUGUAAGUAACUAUGCACGUCUUGACGGUACCUAAUCAGAAAGCCACGGCUAACUACGUG